UACAGAGGGGGCAAGCGUUAUUCGGAAUUAUUGGGCGUAAAGGGCGCGUAGGCGGCUUGGCAAGUGGAAGGUGAAAUCCCUCGGCUCAACUGAGGAACUGCCCUCCAAACUGCUUUGCUUGAGGCCGGGAGAGGUAAGUGGAAUUCCCAGUGUAGCGGUGAAAUGCGUAGAUAUUGGGAGGAACACCAGUGGCGAAGGCGGCUUACUGGACCGGUUCUGACGCUGAGGCGCGAAAGCGUGGGGAGCAAACGGG
RNAcentral lists this ribosomal RNA (253 nucleotides) under uncultured bacterium. RNAcentral's name for it is "partial 16S ribosomal RNA". It matches the Rfam family "Bacterial small subunit ribosomal RNA", at positions 524 to 776 of the family's 1533-position model. The record is from RNAcentral.